AUUGAACGCUGGCGGCAUGCUUUACACAUGCAAGUCGAACGGUAACAGGCCUUCGGGUGCUGACGAGUGGCGAACGGGUGCGUAAUGCAUCGGAACGUACCCAGAGGUGGUGGAUAACGCAGCGAAAGCUGUGCUAAUACCGCAUGUGAUCUGAGGAUGACAGCGGGGGACCGCGCAGCAAUGUUUGGCCUCGCGCCUUUGGAGCGGCCGAUGUCGGAUUAGCUAGUUGGUGGGGUAAAGGCCUACCAAGGCGACGAUCCGUAGCUGGUCUGAGAGGACGACCAGCCACACUGGGACUGAGACACGGCCUAGACUCCUACGGGAGGCAGCAGUGGGGAAUUUUGGACAAUGGGCGCAAGCCUGAUCCAGCAAUGCCGCGUGCGGGAAGAAGGCCUUCGGGUUGUAAACCGCUUUUGGCAGGAACGAAACGGUGUCCGCUAAUACCGGGCGCUAAUGACGGUACCUGAAGAAUAAGCACCGGCUAACUACGUG
RNAcentral lists this ribosomal RNA (492 nucleotides) under uncultured bacterium. RNAcentral describes it as "partial 16S ribosomal RNA". It matches the Rfam family "Bacterial small subunit ribosomal RNA", at positions 30 to 507 of the family's 1533-position model. The record is from RNAcentral.